ACCAGGAUGGCCGAGUGGUUAUGGCGUUGGACUUAAGAUCGAAUGUCCGCGUGGGUUCAAACCCCACUCCUGGUA
Pelobates fuscus (common spadefoot toad) is the source of this 75-nucleotide non-coding RNA. Lineage: Eukaryota; Metazoa; Chordata; Amphibia; Anura; Pelobatidae. The record is from the annotation of a RefSeq genome assembly.